This is a long non-coding RNA of Varroa destructor (honeybee mite), 355 nucleotides long. Lineage: Eukaryota; Metazoa; Arthropoda; Arachnida; Mesostigmata; Varroidae. The record is from RefSeq and is a predicted model, not a curated record.
GCUCACGGUGGUUCGGCUUUUGAUGUUUUCGUCAUCGUGUUCAGUACAGGGAUCACUCGAGAGCCGGUCAGUGCUCUAUGAAUGAAGUCGGCCAUCUAACGGCAGCGGAACAAGCUACCAUAGGCAGACAAUAUGUCUCUAUUUCACUCAACAAGAGUUAUUCGUAUAAUUGCCGUAUCCUGUCUUGUCGCCAUGAUUCUAUUGUCUCGAGCUGUAUCGGAUCAGGCCCAGCCUUCGAGAACGUUUCAAAUGUUAGACGUGCCUGCUAUUGAUUACUAGUCACAGAUCCAUGCAAUUCGACAUUAAAAAUGUCCUCUCAAUUCAGCAAUAAAUAAAUGUCCCACUUUAAGAUUGA